AGAACGAACGCUGGCGGCAUGCCUAAUACAUGCAAGUCGAACGAACACUUCGGUGUUAGUGGCGCACGGGUGCGUAACGCGUGGGAAUCUGCCCUUGGGUUCGGAAUAACAGUUGGAAACGACUGCUAAUACCGGAUGAUAUCGAAAGAUCAAAGAUUUAUCGCCCAGGGAUGAGCCCGCGUAGGAUUAGCUAGUUGGUGAGGUAAAGGCUCACCAAGGCGACGAUCCUUAGCUGGUCUGAGAGGAUGAUCAGCCACACGUGGGACUGAGACACGGCCCAGACCUCCUACGGGAGCAG
Molecule: ribosomal RNA, 298 nt
Filed under: uncultured soil bacterium
Lineage: Bacteria
Description: partial 16S ribosomal RNA
Rfam family: Bacterial small subunit ribosomal RNA
Source: RNAcentral